GUGCAGCAGCCGCGGUCAUACCGGCAGCUCAAGUGCUGUCCCAUAUUAUUGGGCCUAAAGCGUCCGUAGCUGGCCGUCCAAGUCUCCCGGGAAAUCCACCCGCCCAACGGGUGGGCGUCCGGUAGAAACUGGCCGGCUUGGAACCGGAAGGCUCAGAGAGUACGUCCGGGGUAGGAGUGAAAUCCCGUAAUCCCGGACGGACUACCGAUGGCGAAAGCACUCUGAGAAGACGGCUUCGACAGUGAGGGACGAAAGCUCGGGUCUCAAACCGGAUUAGAAACCCCUGUAGUCC
RNAcentral lists this ribosomal RNA (292 nucleotides) under uncultured bacterium. RNAcentral describes it as "partial 16S ribosomal RNA". It matches the Rfam family "Archaeal small subunit ribosomal RNA", at positions 455 to 747 of the family's 1478-position model. The record is from RNAcentral.